Clupea harengus (Atlantic herring) is the source of this 162-nucleotide long non-coding RNA. RefSeq lists it as uncharacterized. The transcript is spliced from 3 exons. The record is from RefSeq and is a predicted model, not a curated record. NCBI's taxonomy places the organism in Eukaryota, Metazoa, Chordata, Actinopteri, Clupeiformes, Clupeidae.
GAUUGAGGUGACCACUACAGUAUAUAAAGAUGCUUUGCUGUCCUUGUAUUCCUCUGAGGAAGAGGAAGAAAGUCCAGGCAGAGCAAUGCUUGGAGAGGAGGCCUUGUCACUGGCUGAGGAGAUUGUUUAGAAAAGACAAGACUGGGGAUGCUGGUAUACCUG